UGACUAAGCCAUGCAAGUCGAGAGGUGUAAGACCUCGGCAUACUGCUCAGUAACACGUGGUUAACCUGCCCUAAGGUGGAGAAUACUCCCGGGAAACUGGGGCUAAUGCUCCAUAGUGGAUAUGUCCUGGAAUGGUAUAUCCUCGAAAGAUCCGUCGCCUUAGGAUGGGACUGCGUCCGAUUAGGUUGUUGGCGGGGUAACGGCCCACCAAGCCAUUGAUCGGUACGGGUUGUGGGAGCAAGAUCCCGGAGAUGGAUUCUGAGACAUGAAUCCAGGCCCUACGGGGCGCAGCAGGCGCGCAAACUUUACAAUGCGAGCAAUCGUGAUAAGGAAACCCUGAGUGCCUGUCGAUGCAGGCUGUUCAUAUAUCUAAAUCAUAUGUGAAGAAAGGGCAGGGCAAGACCGGUGCCAGCCGCCGCGGUAAUACCGGCUGCUCGAGUGAUGGCCACUAUUACUGGGUUUAAAGCGUCCGUAGCUUGACUGUUAGGUCUCUUGGGAAAUCUUCACGCUCAACGUGAAGGCGUCUAAGAGAUACCGGCAGUCUUGGAACUGGGAGAGGUAAACCGUACUUCGGGGGUAGGAGUGAAAUCUUGUAAUCCUCGAGGGACGACCUAUGGCGAAGGCAGUUUACCAGAACAGCUUCGACAGUGAGGGACGAAAGCUGGGGGAGCAAACGGGAUUAGAUACCCCGGUAGUCCCAGCCGUAAACAAUGUGCGUUAGGUGUGUCGGUAACCACGUGUUACUGAUGCGCCGAAGAGAAAUCGUGAAACGCACCACCUGGGAAGUACGGUCGCAAGGCUGAAACUUAAAGGAAUUGGCGGGGGAGCA
Molecule: ribosomal RNA, 829 nt
Filed under: uncultured archaeon
Lineage: Archaea
Description: bacterial SSU rRNA
Rfam family: Archaeal small subunit ribosomal RNA
Source: RNAcentral